RNAcentral lists this ribosomal RNA (548 nucleotides) under uncultured Pseudomonadota bacterium. Its description in RNAcentral is "bacterial SSU rRNA". It matches the Rfam family "Bacterial small subunit ribosomal RNA", at positions 355 to 896 of the family's 1533-position model. Lineage: Bacteria; Pseudomonadati; Pseudomonadota. The record is from RNAcentral.
UGGGGAAUUUUGGACAAUGGGGGCAACCCUGAUCCAGCCAUGCCGCGUGCGGGAAGAAGGCCUUCGGGUUGUAAACCGCUUUUAUUUGGGAAGAAGGAGUCGGGGCGAAUACCCUCGAUGACGGACGGUACCGGAUGAAUAAGCACCGGCUAACUACGUGCCAGCAGCCGCGGUAAUACGUAGGGUGCGAGCGUUAAUCGGAAUUACUGGGCGUAAAGGGUGCGCAGGUGGUUAUUUAAGACAGAUGUGAAAUCCCCGGGCUCAACCUGGGAACUGCGUUUGUGACUGGAUAGCUAGAGUGCGGCAGAGGGGGGUGGAAUUCCACGUGUAGCAGUGAAAUGCGUAGAGAUGUGGAGGAACACCGAUGGCGAAGGCAGCCCCCUGGGCUAACACUGACGCUCAGGCACGAAAGCGUGGGGAGCAAACAGGAUUAGAUACCCUGGUAGUCCACGCCCUAAACGAUGUCAACUGGGUGUUGGGGGAGCGAUUCCUCAGUACCGUAGCUAACGCGUGAAGUUGACCGCCUGGGGAGUACGGCCGCAAGGUUA